UACAGAGGGUGCGAGCGUUAAUCGGAAUUACUGGGCGUAAAGCGCGCGUAGGCGGCUUUGCAAGUCGGGUGUGAAAUCCCCGGGCUUAACCUGGGAACUGCAUUUGUGACUGCAUCGCUGGAGUGCGGCAGAGGGGGAUGGAAUUCCGCGUGUAGCAGUGAAAUGCGUAGAUAUGCGGAGGAACACCGAUGGCGAAGGCAAUCCCCUGGGCCUGCACUGACGCUCAUGCACGAAAGCGUGGGGAGCAAACAGG
Molecule: ribosomal RNA, 253 nt
Filed under: uncultured bacterium
Lineage: Bacteria
Description: partial 16S ribosomal RNA
Rfam family: Bacterial small subunit ribosomal RNA
Source: RNAcentral